CAUUUGUAUGUCUGUACUGCCACAAGCAGGAAGGACAGAAAUUUAAAGGUAAAAGAGUAUAGGGAAGCCCAAAGGAAAUGUAGUGUUAAAUUUCUGUCCAUGGUUCUAGAAACAUAAAGGAUUGUAGUCUGAACAAAGUUAUCUUGUUAUUGCAUUAUGAACAGUCGCAAAUAUUCUAUAUAAAAUACUGCACCCUUGCAACUCAUUUGAUAAUUAAAAAAAAAAAAAAAAAAAUCAGUGUGCAGUACAGACCUUUCGAUAGGCUUGUUUCUGCACACAUCCUUAAGACGACAAGUUGUUUUCAUGCUGUUUAGAGUGUUCAAUAUAUUUCAACGAAGUACAGGGACACCCAGCUACCCGAUGUUUUCACUAACAGCAGCCUCCAAGAGCAAAAGCCAGGAAAUGAGCCAAUGAUAGACAUUUUAUUUUCUAGAUGAGAUACAAACUCUGAAUUAAUCCCAAAACAUCCAAAAUGCCAACCUUUGUGAGCUGUGAGUGACAUACAAUCUGAAGGAAAAAAACCUCACCAACCAAAACCUGAAAAUAAAAAAAUACUAUGCUUUAGGAAUCUGAGCAGAACCAGAAAGUUAGAGCACCUCCUCUGGUUAUCAAAAUGCACUUCCACUGCUGACGUGAGAACUUACGGGUAUUAGCAGGAAUGCAAAGAGAAGCUGCUUGGCAACUGCAGUUUCACAUGGACAGGGAAAGUUUCUCUCCUGAGUGGAAAGGUAACUGGAUUCUAGUUUUAUUGUUACUACUCUGUCCCUCCCCUAUAAAAUGGGCAGUGCUAAAACACCACAAAUGUAUUCAAUAUGGUUAUGGUACAAAUAUAACAUCGAAGAGUAAAUAGCCCUCACACUUCUGUCUUAGCAUUUGGGACUCUAUCAGAAAGAAUCUAGAGUUGGGGCAGAAAUUUAUACUGCUCUACCAUGUAAACACAUAUCCCCUAAAAAGUCUUUACACACCAUAUUGUUUUAUGUAAUGACUUCAUUUUCUGGAAGUAUUUGUGCAAAACACAACACAAAGACCUUACAUUAAUUACAAAAUUAGGCAGUAAUGUGUGUUUUGUCCAUUUUGAAAACUGUACCCUAAAAUGAAGACUCUGUUAUUCAAAUGAAUUACGUCUCUGCUGUUAGGAAUGAGUUAGAGUAAAAUGUCACAUAUAAAGUUCACAAUGACAUUUUCCUAUACCAAAAUUUAAUUUAAGAGGGAUAUGCUGCAUUUUAAUAAAACAUCUCAUAGAUUUCAAGUAUAUUUUUAUGGUUCUCUAGGGAAAAUGCAGCAAAUAAUCAUAUUUUAAAUCCACUGAAGUUCUCUUGCUGAUGCUUUAAGAUGUAUUUUCUGGUUUCGUUUGAGUGCCAUAGUAUUUACAUUUUCAGACUUAUCUGCCAAUCUAUAUUCUCAAUAGUCGCUCUU
This 1416-nucleotide long non-coding RNA is filed under the name Strigops habroptila (Kakapo). RNAcentral describes it as "lncRNA (ENSSHBG00005003014.1)". The record is from RNAcentral. Lineage: Eukaryota; Metazoa; Chordata; Aves; Psittaciformes; Psittacidae.